GGAGAGGUACCGAAGUGGUCAUAACGGGGCGGUCCUGAAAACCGUUAGCGCGCAAGCGCACAUGGGUUCGAACCCCAUCCUCUCCGCCA
Molecule: transfer RNA, 89 nt
Filed under: Oscillospiraceae bacterium
Lineage: Bacteria; Bacillati; Bacillota; Clostridia; Eubacteriales; Oscillospiraceae
Description: tRNA-Ser
Rfam family: tRNA
About the family: Transfer RNA (tRNA) molecules are approximately 80 nucleotides in length.
Source: RNAcentral